CUGUACUGUCCGCCAGGUGGCACCAACACAACGCCAUUUAAAUGUGUUCCAGGUGUUCCCUGUUGCGUCAGAGUGUACAGCAGCACCAGCAGCUCUCAAUAAUAAUAACGAAAAAGAGAACGGAUUACCAUGGAACCUGGUAUUCUGGGGAUUUGUUUCUAAAGAAGUGAGGACAGAAGUGAAGAGACAAACUUCCAGCCCUGGAACCAAUUAGAGCAGGAGGAGCCCCUCCACAAGUCCACCAGACACGCUUUGGGUAUGGAGACCGAGGCAGGUGCCACUCUGGAGAAGUAAUCAACAGCACCUCUGUUCUAAGCAAAAUAAAGAUGACAGCCAAGGUGUUGAAGGACCAGCGGCCGUUCAUGGUCAUCUCUCAGCCCUCAUGAAGAAAGUCAACACACACUCAAUUCUCACCACCUGGUGGUCAUUUUAUUCUGCAAGCUCUGGAAGAAAAAACACACACAA
Molecule: long non-coding RNA, 465 nt
Organism: Carassius gibelio (silver crucian carp)
Lineage: Eukaryota; Metazoa; Chordata; Actinopteri; Cypriniformes; Cyprinidae
Exons: 4
Source: RefSeq, a predicted model, not a curated record